GACGAACGCUGGCGGCGUGCUUAACACAUGCAAGUCGAACGGAAAGGCCCUGCUUUUGUGGGGUGCUCGAGUGGCGAACGGGUGAGUAACACGUGAGUAACCUGCCCUUGACUUUGGGAUAACUUCAGGAAACUGGGGCUAAUACCGGAUAGGAGCUCCUGCUGCAUGGUGGGGGUUGGAAAGUUUCGGCGGUUGGGGAUGGACUCGCGGCUUAUCAGCUUGUUGGUGGGGUAGUGGCUUACCAAGGCUUUGACGGGUAGCCGGCCUGAGAGGGUGACCGGCCACAUUGGGACUGAGAUACGGCCCAGACUCCUACGGGAGGCAGCAGUGGGGAAUAUUGCACAAUGGGUGGAAGCCUGAUGCAGCAACGCCGCGUGCGGGAUGACGGCCUUCGGGCUGUAAACCGCUUUCGCCUGUGACGAAGCGUGAGUGACGGUAAUGGGUAAAGAAGCACCGGCUAACUACGUG
Molecule: ribosomal RNA, 468 nt
Filed under: uncultured bacterium
Lineage: Bacteria
Description: partial 16S ribosomal RNA
Rfam family: Bacterial small subunit ribosomal RNA
Source: RNAcentral